This 428-nucleotide ribosomal RNA is filed under the name uncultured bacterium. RNAcentral's name for it is "partial 16S ribosomal RNA". It matches the Rfam family "Bacterial small subunit ribosomal RNA", at positions 354 to 796 of the family's 1533-position model. The record is from RNAcentral.
GUGGGGAAUAUUGGGCAAUGGGCGAAAGCCUGACCCAGCAACGCCGCGUGAGGGAAGAAGGCCUUCGGGUUGUAAACCUCUGUCCUUGGUGACGAAACAAAUGACGGUAGCCAAGGAGGAAGCCCCGGCUAACUACGUGCCAGCAGCCGCGGUAAUACGGAGGGGGCGAGCGUUGUCCGGAAUUACUGGGCGUAAAGGGUGCGUAGGUGGCCUUUUAAGUUGGAUGUGAAAUACCCGGGCUUAACUUGGGGGGUGCAUCUAAUACUGGAGGGCUAGAGUGCAGGAGAGGGAAGCGGAAUUCCUAGUGUAGCGGUGAAAUGCGUAGAUAUUAGGAGGAACACCAGUGGCGAAGGCGGCUUUCUGGACUGUAACUGACACUGAGGCACGAAAGCGUGGGGAGCAAACAGGAUUAGAAACCCCAGUAGUCC